This 400-nucleotide ribosomal RNA is filed under the name uncultured bacterium. Its description in RNAcentral is "bacterial SSU rRNA". It matches the Rfam family "Bacterial small subunit ribosomal RNA", at positions 356 to 773 of the family's 1533-position model. The record is from RNAcentral.
GGGGAAUAUUGGACAAUGGGCGAAAGCCUGAUCCAGCCAUGCCGCGUGAGUGAUGAAGGCCUUAGGGUUGUAAUGCUCUUUUAGCAGGGAAGAUAAUGGCGGUACCUGCAGAAUAAGCCCCGGCUAACUUCGUGCCAGCAGCCGCGGUAAUACGAAGGGGGCUAGCGUUGUUCGGAAUUACUGGGCGUAAAGCGCACGUAGGCGGAUUGCCAAGUCAGGGGUGAAAUCCCGGGGCUCAACCUCGGAACUGCCUUUGAUACUGUCAGUCUAGAGUCCGGAAGAGGUGGGUGGAAUUCCUAGUGUAGAGGUGAAAUUCGCAGAUAUUAGGAAGAACACCGGUGGCGAAGGCGGCCCACUGGUCCGGAACUGACGCUGAGGUGCGAAAGCGUGGGGAGCAAAC